AUGGACGAAGUCUGACCGAGCACGCCGCGUGAGUGAAGAAGGUUUUCGGAUCGUAAAACUCUGUUGUUAGAGAAGAACAAGGAUGAGAGUAACUGUUCAUCCCUUGACGGUAUCUAACCAGAAAGCCACGGCUAACUACGUGCCAGCAGCCGCGGUAAUACGUAGGUGGCAAGCGUUGUCCGGAUUUAUUGGGCGUAAAGCGAGCGCAGGCGGUUUCUUAAGUCUGAUGUGAAAGCCCCCGGCUCAACCGGGGAGGGUCAUUGGAAACUGGGAGACUUGAGUGCAGAAGAGGAGAGUGGAAUUCCAUGUGUAGCGGUGAAAUGCGUAGAUAUAUGGAGGAACACCAGUGGCGAAGGCGGCUCUCUGGUCUGUAACUGACGCUGAGGCUCGAAAGCGUGGGGAGCAAACAGGAUAAUAC
RNAcentral lists this ribosomal RNA (418 nucleotides) under Enterococcus faecium. RNAcentral's name for it is "bacterial SSU rRNA". It matches the Rfam family "Bacterial small subunit ribosomal RNA", at positions 371 to 783 of the family's 1533-position model. The record is from RNAcentral. Lineage: Bacteria; Bacillati; Bacillota; Bacilli; Lactobacillales; Enterococcaceae.